RNAcentral lists this small nucleolar RNA (102 nucleotides) under Erinaceus europaeus (western European hedgehog). Its description in RNAcentral is "Small nucleolar RNA U3". It matches the Rfam family "Small nucleolar RNA U3". Rfam says of the family: Small nucleolar RNAs (snoRNAs) are involved in the processing and modification of rRNA in the nucleolus. There are two main classes of snoRNAs: the box C/D class, and the box H/ACA class. Lineage: Eukaryota; Metazoa; Chordata; Mammalia; Eulipotyphla; Erinaceidae. The record is from Rfam by way of RNAcentral.
AAGACUAUACUUUCAGGGAUCAUUUCUAUAGUAUGUUACAAGAGUAGUUAAAGCAAAUAGCUGUUUUACUGAAGGAUAUUGGAAGGAAACUGAGUUUUCAGA